RNAcentral lists this ribosomal RNA (616 nucleotides) under Terfezia boudieri. RNAcentral's name for it is "eukaryotic LSU rRNA". The stretch from base 218 to 371 matches the Rfam family "5.8S ribosomal RNA". The record is from RNAcentral. Lineage: Eukaryota; Fungi; Ascomycota; Pezizomycetes; Pezizales; Pezizaceae.
GAAGGAUCAUUAGCGGCUGAAAAACUAUUUUAAGUUUUUUAUAUCCCAUUGUUUACUUACCCUGUUGCUUUCACUGGACAGAUUUCACCUUGUGUGGGUCCUUUGGCUUGUGUGAAAUCCCACUUGCCAAAGAGUUGCUAGUGGUAAGACCUAUUUAUCAAAACUUGAGUUUCAAUAAACACAACUGUCUGAAUAUUUUUUUUCUUUAAUGAAAUAAAACUUUCAACAACGGAUCUCUAGGCUCUUGCAUCGAUGAAGAACGCAGUGAAAUGCGAUAAGUAAUGUGAAUUGCAGAAUCUCGUGAAUCAUUGAAUCUUUGAACGCACAUUGCGCCCUAUGGUAUUCCAUUGGGCAUGCCUGUCUGAGCGUCAGCUCCCCCUCCACUCAAGAAUCAUUUUAUAUGAUACUUGGAUUACUUUGGAGAUGUAACUGUAUAUUAAGUUGCCCUCCAGAAAUUUAUUGGCAGUAUGUUUUUGUACUUGGACCAGACGUAAUAGUAAUAAGGUCGUUUGCCCUUUGUGUAUAAUUGAUUGUACUUGCCUUAACCCCCACCCAUUUUUAUUUUGGGUGACUUCAGUUCAUGCCGUUUGGAUACCCGCUGAACUUAAGCAUAUCA